Molecule: ribosomal RNA, 253 nt
Filed under: uncultured bacterium
Lineage: Bacteria
Also listed under: 1 other name
Description: partial 16S ribosomal RNA
Rfam family: Bacterial small subunit ribosomal RNA
Source: RNAcentral
UACGGAGGGAGCUAGCGUUGUUCGGAAUUACUGGGCGUAAAGCGCGCGUAGGCGGCUAUUCAAGUCAGAGGUGAAAGCCCGGGGCUCAACCCCGGAACUGCCUUUGAAACUAGGUAGCUAGAAUCUUGGAGAGGCGAGUGGAAUUCCGAGUGUAGAGGUGAAAUUCGUAGAUAUUCGGAAGAACACCAGUGGCGAAGGCGACUCGCUGGACAAGUAUUGACGCUGAGGUGCGAAAGCGUGGGGAGCAAACAGG